This 434-nucleotide long non-coding RNA is filed under the name Homo sapiens (human). RNAcentral describes it as "non-protein coding lnc-CYP7A1-8:1". The record is from RNAcentral. Lineage: Eukaryota; Metazoa; Chordata; Mammalia; Primates; Hominidae.
ACGAAGUUUAAUCCCUUUGUGACUUUUGACUGAAGCAAGAACCACAAAAUGGCAUUUCAAGGCACCUUUCCACAUUCGCAGGAAGAUUACGUCUUCCUCUCUUUCCAAAGAGCUGACACAGAAGUACAGUGUUUGAUCCAUGCUCAUCUGAAAGGAUGAUGAAGUUCAGGCUGUGUGAGGACACUAUAAAUGUCAGCAAACUGGCAAAACAGUCAAGGUUUACAGGAAGAAAUGUGUCAUCUACACUGAGCAGGUGCAGUGGGAAAAGGCUAAUGGCACAACUGUCCACAUGGGCAUUCACUCCAGCUGUUACUUCUAGGCUGAAAGUGAACAGAGACCAAAGAAAGAUCCUUGGACAGAAAGCCAAAUCUCAUCAAGCAGGCAAGAGAAAGGGCAAACACAAGGAAGAAACAAUUGAAAAGAUGCAGACAUAA